AGCUAUCAUAGCUAUUUAAGUAUGAGAUUCUUAAUCUCAGGAUUCAGCGUAUGCUGAUGAUGGU
This 64-nucleotide transfer RNA is filed under the name Gari togata. Its description in RNAcentral is "tRNA-Lys". The record is from RNAcentral. Lineage: Eukaryota; Metazoa; Mollusca; Bivalvia; Cardiida; Psammobiidae.